UCGCCUGCUUCAGACGUGCAUACUGCGCGUA
Molecule: small RNA, 31 nt
Filed under: Bombyx mori (domestic silkworm)
Lineage: Eukaryota; Metazoa; Arthropoda; Insecta; Lepidoptera; Bombycidae
Description: ovarian small RNA-7581
Source: RNAcentral